GAGGGUAUAGCUCAGUGGUAGAGUGCGUGCUUAGCAUGCACGAGGUCCUGGGUUCAAUCCCCAGUACCUCCA
Transfer RNA from Camelus ferus (Wild Bactrian camel), 72 nucleotides. It matches the Rfam family "tRNA". From Rfam's summary of the family: Transfer RNA (tRNA) molecules are approximately 80 nucleotides in length. The record is from Rfam. NCBI's taxonomy places the organism in Eukaryota, Metazoa, Chordata, Mammalia, Artiodactyla, Camelidae.